RNAcentral lists this ribosomal RNA (554 nucleotides) under uncultured fungus. RNAcentral describes it as "SSU rRNA". It matches the Rfam family "Eukaryotic small subunit ribosomal RNA", at positions 194 to 755 of the family's 1831-position model. The record is from RNAcentral. Lineage: Eukaryota; Fungi.
GGAAGGGGUGUAUUUAUUAGAUAAAAAACCAAUGCCUCCGGGCUCCUUGGUGAUUCAUGAUAACUUUACGAAUCGCAUGGCCUUGUGCCGGCGAUGGUUCAUUCAAAUUUCUGCCCUAUCAACUUUCGAUGGUAGGAUAGUGGCCUACCAUGGUUUCAACGGGUAACGGGGAAUUAGGGUUCUAUUCCGGAGAGGGAGCCUGAGAAACGGCUACCACAUCCAAGGAAGGCAGCAGGCGCGCAAAUUACCCAAUCCCGACACGGGGAGGUAGUGACAAUAAAUACUGAUACAGGGCCCUUAUGGGUCUUGUAAUUGGAAUGAGUACAAUUUAAAUCCCUUAACGAGGAACAAUUGGAGGGCAAGUCUGGUGCCAGCAGCCGCGGUAAUUCCAGCUCCAAUAGCGUAUAUUAAAGUUGUUGCAGUUAAAAAGCUCGUAGUUGAACCUUGGGUCUGGGUGACCGGUCUGCCUCACCGCAUGCACUGGGAACCCGGACCUUUCCUUCUGGCAAACCUCAUGCCCUUCACUGGGUGUGUUGGGGAACCAGGACUUUUAC